This is a regulatory RNA element of Paenibacillus sp. D9, 413 nucleotides long. It matches the Rfam family "cspA thermoregulator". The record is from Rfam. Lineage: Bacteria; Bacillati; Bacillota; Bacilli; Caryophanales; Paenibacillaceae.
GACCGGUUUUUGCAGAUCUCGAUUCCGGUACGGUAAAAAAUGGAUUUAACCGUUCCGGCUCGUUGCAAUCGGCAUGGCUGGUGUGUAUAAUGGGCUUAUUCGCCGCUCUCCAAGGCGGCGUCAUUUUAGGAGGUUGUUCAUUUGAAAGGAACAGUUAAGUGGUUCAACGCAGAAAAAGGCUACGGUUUCAUCCAAGUCGAGAACGGUGAAGACGUAUUCGUUCACUUCUCUGCUAUCCAAACCGACGGCUUCAAGUCGCUGGACGAAGGUCAAGCUGUAGAAUUCGACAUUACGGACGGCAACCGCGGUCCUCAAGCUGCUAACGUCGUUAAACUGUAGGUUUAUAAGAUCCGCUUAGGCGGGUUUGCUUCUAAUAGAGCAGAACAAGGCCCCCUCAAGGGGGCCUUGUUUUU